CCCGAUCCUGUGUGUGAUUGAGGAGUGUUGGAUGCUAGAAGGGUACAGCUGAUCACCUUUUCCAGCCCGUUUCUCCAGUGUCCACAGCAAGGGGACUUUCAGCUGCGUUCCAUGGACUUGGGGAUCCUGGCUUGUGGGCACCCCGGGCAGGGGAGGGGCCGGGAGCCUCCUCGUUAGCACCACGGACAGCUCGUGAGCCUGGAGGGGGAGGUGGGAGGAGAGCUCGCAGCGCCAGCGCGGGGAGGAGAGAGCGCAAGAGCGGACGGGCGGGGGAGGAAAAGGAGAGGUAAGGAAGGAGGACAGCGGCUCCCAGGCUAGAGGAAGGAAUCUGGAAGCAGUCGGAGCAGCAGGUCUGGGGAACUGUUCAUUUGCAGUGCCUCAGAGUUUGCAGACUCGCAGCUCGCCAGUCGCUCUGGGCGAGGGCUGCUGGCGGAGACCGGACGCCAGAGUUUAAAAUGCAAUGGCCAGAAGACAAGGAAGUAUCACUAGAAUUAUGUGGACAUGGACUCCGGGACUGCUGAUGAUGACUGUGAUCUUUUGGAGUCAGCAAGGGAAUGGACAAGGCCAAGAGUGCUCUGUUAAGCUUGGCUCCUGGUUGCAGGAGUAGCAAAUAAGUAAGUCUCUUUUUGUUUAUCAUUUCUUUUAAUUGAUCUGUGACACUUCAAUGAUGUGUAUACCUAUGCUCAUGAUUACCAAAUCCUUUCUUCAGUCCCAACUUGCUACAUGAUGUACACUAACCUAUUAGAUAAUUUAUCAGUAAUCCAGUCACCUUCUGUCAUUGCGUCCUACAUCGAACUCACUAUGUUUGUUCUACAAAACAUGCGUUUACUUGAGUGAUCAUUUUUUUUCAAACGGGUGACCUUGAUUAACAUGUCCUGUUCUUCCCAGUACUAUCCUACAAUAGUAGUAACCAAAUAACCAUAGAAUGAUGAAAAUUUCUGAAACUCAAGAUAAAACAUGGACCUAAUGUUGAUAAUGUUAAACAUUACCUUGAAUGGUUUGACUCUAUUAGAUAUUGAUUGAUAUAAUAUUAUUUCCCUUUUCAUAAUGCUAUCUAUUUCUAAUAUACACAUGUAUUGAAGAUGUGACUUUAGACAGUUCAGAAUUCCCAAGAUUGUAUUAAUGAUAAAAAUUCAAUUACCUGUUUUUUUUAGGGAUAAGUUUUCAAGUAUAAUUAAUGCUUUUCUGAUAUGUAGCCUUUCCAUUCUUGAAUUAUUUGGCUGAAGGAAUUUGCUUUAACUCAAAAACUGUAAAAGAGCAUCUAUAUUAUUCCGAACUCUAAGAAAAGCUAUCAUAAAAAUAUACCCAUUUUACAAAAAUUACAACUGAUUUCUGCAGGCCUUCAAUAUAUCAUUAUCUCUUUAAUUCAUAGGUGAAAAAUAAUACACAAAUGUGCCCAUUAUUACUUUCAUGUGGCCUGGGAAAGAGACCCAAUAUAUACAAUAGCAUCAUUUGUAUUUUCAUAUAAUUUAUGUUACUUCAGAUUGUGACAAAGAAAUCUGAAAGGGAAGGUGACAGAGCAGAGGCUGAUGUUUUUUAAUAUGUUCUCCAGAAAGCACUUUCUAAGGAGAGACUUUUUGCAGAUACCUGAGUAAAAUGAAGGAUCAAAAGAUCUCAGGGAUGUCCCAGGGCUCUCCAAUCACUUUCUAAGGAUAUCUGAGUAAGGGGUUUAUUGUAAAGAGCAGACAGCUGAGAACAGAGCCCAGGUAAUGCAACAUUUUUGAGCAGUAAUACAAAGAAAGCCCACCAACAUGAGUUUAGAUGGUUUCUAAAUUUCUAUGGAAAUAUAUUUUUGUGACACUCAAUUUUUCAUUUGGUCAGCAUUUUUCCCAGGGGUACAUUUAUACUUUUGUUGAUUGUAAUGAAAUCUACACACCUAUGCUCUGUUUUCUGUAAGAAUGUAUGCUGAUUUUGGUAAUGAGAGCAUCAAUUUAUAGCUAAGUCUGGCCCAAACGAAGGACACAAGCACAGAUGACAUAAAUAAACAAUGAGAACAGAAAACCUUGCAUCUUUUCAAAUCUCCAUUUCCCAGUCUUAAAACUUGUAGCAAACAAGAUCUCUCCGUUCUUUUAGAUAUCUUUGAUGUUACAAUACUUGUCAUAGAGUAGAUGUGUAAUGCUUAUCUAAUCAAUAAAUUAAGUCCAUGCUAGGAAGACAGUAUUGCACUGAGCCAGAAAAUGUUUAUGCCUCUCUGAUUGGUAGCUAUGUGAAAGUACUCUUGAUAUCCCUUUUCUAAUCAAUCGUAUUCAUGAAAUUAACAGCUAAUAAAACUCAUUCUUCUCUUAUUAAUCGGUUUCUGCUCCUGCAGAUGAAACUAAUGAUUUUCUUAGAAAAUUCUGAUGUAAGACUUUUGGAGAAAAAGCCAAAGAGAGUUAGAAUUUAUUUUAUUAGGCAAGUUAUGAGAUACCAUUUAAAUUUGAACUUCAGGUGAACUACAAAUAAUUUGAAAUGUACUUAUACUAAAAUGUUAUUUGAUGUGUAUAUGAACUUCAAAUUUAAGUAAGGACGUUCUACUUUUAUUUGCUAACUCUGACAAUUCUAUUUUAGAAAGAUUUUCUAUAGAUGAGAGUAAAAUGGUCUUUCUGGAAACGUCAAGCAAUCUACUUUUAUAAGUACGUCAAUUAAAGCCAAAGAGUUAGGAGAAUAGAUUUGUGGAGCUAAAUAUUUUAGACAGGUAGAGAAUUCAGGUGAAAUAUUUGAAGUAUUUUUCAAGACAAAGAAAAGGAAGGAAUGUCCAGUUUAGGCAAAUGAAAUGUUAUUUUUAGCUAUAUUUUAGAUAACAUACAAUAAAAUUUAAAAAUCAGUCAUUUCUCAGAUAUGAAGAGAGUCAAGCACAGCAUAGUAAGCCAUGUGUGAGAUAAAGCACAUUCAGCAGAAUUAAACUGCAUUCAAAUAUAUAUACUGAUAAAGUGAAUGUGUGGCAAGAUUAUACCACAGGAAACUAAAUUAGGUCCACCUCUCUGAAAAAUAGUAGGCUUAGAAAAUCUGUGGAAGACUGAGGACACUUAUAAUGAGAGAAGAUGUAGGUGAUUAAAGAGUUUUAUAAUGUUUUUAGCAACCAUAAAUGAGAGAAAAGUCUUUAAGCAUCUAAGUGAAGAAAAAAUUAACAGAAUUAUUCUCAACUAUGUGAUAAAGACAUUAAAAAGUACUAGGAUUGACAGAGCUUCAGAGUCAUAAGGGACUUGUUAGCAGAUUGUAAAGGAACUUGCUAAUGAAUAAAGAAAGCUUUUAAACAGACUCUGAAGAUCUCCAAAGAACUAGGACAUAUGUACUAUGGAAAUCUUCAGGAAAAUGUGAUAUAGUAAAAUUUAGGCAAAAGUGUUUAACCAUUAUAGGUUAUAAUAUUCCAAUGGUAUGAAUUUCAGACAGAAAUACUUAAAGUGUUGAAUUUUUCCCAUAUUUCCAAAUUUUAUUAGCCUGCAUUUGUGAUACAUAAUGAAUAGAUUCAAUGUAUAUUUAUAAUUUGAAUUUUUCAUGUAGGAGAAACCAUGCAAUAUCUAAUGUUCUCUAUCUGGUUUAUGUCACUUAGCAUUAUGUUCUCAAGGGAAAUCUUUGCUACCAGCGACUCCAAUUUAUUCUUCUUGGUGGCUGAGUAAUACUCUAUUAUAGAUAUACUGGAUUUUUUUAAGAAGACAAGAGAUGGAAGAAAAGGAGGAAGAGGAGGAGAAAGAUGAGGGUACCUGUUAAUCAAAUGUCACUAGUAAGUCAAAAGUACAGACUGUCUCUUCUUGUUGAUGUGCUUGUUUGUUUUGAGACAGUGACUGACUAUGUAGUACAGACUGUCCUGGUGAUGGUCCUUUCUCAGUAAAUUCUGGGAUUAUAGGCAUGCACCACUUCCAAAACAUCAUAUCGAUAAACUCAUCAAAUGAAAAAAACCCCCAAAACAUCAUAGAGAUAUAACAGCAGGGUGGGUGGGAUUAUUAUUUUUUAUUUGCAUUUUCAGGGGAAUAAAAAUAGUAUUUUUAUCAUAGGACAUAGUAGACAGUUUUUCUAAUAUCUUCUCUUGCCAAAGUUACUGCUUGGUCUGGCCUGAUUCGCUGUGACGUAAACACAUCACUGUCCAAGAUAUUUCUAUUGCUUUGCCUUUUGGUGUGGAUAUUGAGGCCACAGAGACACCUGCAGGUCUUUCUCCAUCAAACGCCUGCACUCUGCACUGUACAGGGCCUGAUAUCUUGGCUUUACCUCUGUGUCCCAUAUACUGUGACAUUUUUGUAUGAAUUCAGCCACCAGAUGUUUUCCACAUGGUGGGAUGUUGUGCCAUUUGGAAUCAUUCACUUAAUAGGUCAUAGUAAACAUGUUACUAUUUAUGAAUUUAUAUGUCUGUUGCUAUGUAACAAACCCAGUAUUUGGUACUCAGAAUCACAGCUAUUUUACUGCUCAUGAUUGCAUGGGGGCAGUAGUGUGGGCAGAACUUGGCAGAGAUGGCUCAUCUGUGCUUGCUACAGCAGAUCUCUCUAACCUCCUUUACACAAGUGGUAUUUGAGGAGCUAGCUGUUGCCUGGACGCCAUGACUGUAACCCAUGGGGACUCCUUAUCCAUCUCCCAUCCUCCUGUCUCUGUGUGUGUCCACCCUCUCUAGAAGCAGAAUUUAACUUUCUUUAUGUGGACCUAGGUCCACGUAAGGAAAGUAGAAACUAAAUGACCUAAGCUUAGAAGUCCCAGAACACAAAUUCUGGCACAUUCUAUUGAAAGCCAACCACAGGGGCAGCGCUGAUUCAAGAGCUGAAGCAUUAGACUCCAUGUCUUGAUGAGGGGGUGAUGAGCAGGUCACAAAGUGGUGUAAGUAGGUUAAGUGGUGAGAGGGUUUUCUCUCUGACUACUACAUCUGAGUGGUUUCCAGAUAGCCUUUUACUGUAAGGCAGAACUAUGAACUCCACAUUCUUCCAGUUAUUUCCUGAGAAGAAUAAAUAUCUGCUUGCUUGUGAUUACAAUUUCAGUUUUUUUAAGAAACCAGUUUGAAAUUUCAAUAUAAUCACCUCUUCUCAAGUAGCGUUGAUGGUUAAUUCAGGAGAACUCACUUCUUUAUUAUCUUUUCUGUCCUUUUGAAAUAAAAAAAUCACUUGUACUCAUUUUAUAUGAUAAGAUAGUGAUUGUGUUAUAGACUCUUGCACACAGCACACUAAUAACUAAAAGUACAAAAAAAGUCCCAUGUUUCUGUAUGGAACAAUGUUGAAUGAUAACUGGCAUCAGUACUUUUGGAAAUUUUUGGAGUAGGAAGAAUACUUGUCUGUCAGCUAAAUUGUGCAAGUCAAGUUUCUAAUUUGCUAUAAUAUUUUGCUUAUCAAUCUGAAGCCAUAUUUUUGUGAUAUGCCAUAGAUAUGCUUACAGAACUUUCAAUUGGCAUGUAGAAAAAAGUGAAAAUUCCUUGGUGUGACAUUUAUGGGCCUGACCCAUUUUCAGCAAUCGCUCAUCUUUCCCAGUCUUACGGGCUAUGCUCCAGCCAAUCAAACCACCUGUAAUUUUCUGAAAUUGCAUUCUGAGUCACACCUGUAAGACUUUGCUGUUUCAACUCUCCAUUGAAGCAUCAUUGUUUGGUCCCCUGAUAUCUUUUACUCCCAUCCCCCAAAGCUUGCCUGAGAACAAUUGUUUCUAGGCUUAGGUAUGGUAUUGAGUCAUAUGAAUCAACCUUAGAAUUGCCUCUUUUUUUUGUUGAAUUGAUUUUUUUUAUCUCUUGUAUGCAAAUUUCUAGACUUCUAUGUACGUUUUAUUUUUGAAGUAAAAUGUAUUACCACAUUUAAAUUUGCUUAUGUUUCUCAAUUUUACUAUUUGCAACAUAUCUUUUGUGACUCUUUUAUUCUUAGGACGGUGAUUGAUAUGAUUUUGAUAUUUUAAAAUAAUGUAUCUUGCAUUAAUACACCUAUAUUAAAACUCUUUCUGAUAUUUAAUCUUCUCAGCAAAUAAGUAUUCUCCUCAUGUCCCAAGGCAGAUAUCUAAGUAUUACCUCAGCAUGGAUUAUGCCAAUAUGAUUUACAAGAGAUCACUCAUGUAUGAUUCUGUUUUUUAAUUUGAAACUUGAAACAUGAUUAGAAGCUGAAUUUGUUCAGUCUAAAGAUGUGCUAGGACAGAUUUUAUCUUGGAUGCCACAAAGCAAUCAGGGACUGUUUAAGAACAAGCAGAAAAUCUUUUGUCUUUCAGAAGUCUGUUAAGACAUGGUGUUUGAUGGGCUUGCUUUCCAAGGCACACACUAGUUGAGUGCAAUUAAAUAAUAGAAUGUCAAAUCCACAAGCCAUAUUGUACAGAGUAUGUUUUGGAGAACUGUACCUUGAUGUGCCAUAUAAUUGUCAUAUGCAUUUCAGGCCUGUGCUCAUUAUCAAUUGGAACCAAUCAAAUAAAAACAUGUCAGUAUUCACUGAGAUGCUUACUUGCUCUUACGAGUUAUUUCUAAGGCCCACAGUGAUAGUAUAUUUUUAUGUCUGUCUCCUUCACCUCCUUGCACAGAUAUAGCUGCUCCCUUUCAAUACUCUCAAAUCGGCAUAUUCUUGUAACAGCUUUGCAAAUGAUUGCUUUAUUCAAGGUUAUAUUUAUCUUUCUUUUCCUUCAAUUUACAUUUUUAAAGUUAGAUCAGGAAAGUUAAUUUUGGCACUCAAAAAGAAUCAAUCAAUGUUUUUUUAAACUACACAUUUGUUGGAGUUUAGGUACAUGCAGUAAAAUAUUGUGUGUUUGGAGGUCAGAGAGACAUUAGAUCAUAUUUUAAGGACACUACUUUUUAGCCAAGUGAUUUAGGGAAGUGAAUUCUUUCUUUUUACAUCUACUAUCUCAUCUACAAAAUAUUAUUUAUCCCUAUAAAUCUCUGUUCCCCUAGAAAGUUAAGGUAAACAUUAUUUCCUUUUCUUUUAUGACACUUAGAUAUUUAAACGUGAUGAAUAUAUUCAUACUUAUUUUAGAGAGUAGUCAUUUAUUUUAGAAAAGCCAAUUAUUUUGCCAUCAUGUAUGUUGUCUUCUGAUUGGUACUCCUUAUUUCUUGUUCAGAUUUUCUCCUGCCUUCAGGUAAUAUGUGCUAACAUCUCCAUUAUCUCCCUAUGUGUCUUUGAAACUAAUCCUAAUUGUAGCUCCUGCUUAUUGAACAACUUGGAAUUAUUCUCUCAUCUACAUCUUCUUGAUUCGCCUAUGUUGCCUACAUUGAUUUCAGUGGUGGAAAAAAGUUCUAAACAGUCUUGCUAUAUUGCUCAGAGUAUGCUCAAAACUGGUCUCAUGUGAUCCUCCUGCCUCAGCCUCAACUACAGGUGUGUGCCCCCAUACCAGGCUAAUUGUGAUAUAUAAUUUAAUAUGUUAUUUAGUUGCAUGUAUCAAUCAUAUUUCUAUAAUAAUUUUAUUUUUAAGAAAUAUAUAUUUUAUCAAAUGUUUAUGAAAUUAGUAAGUUUAAAUUCAACUAUAUAUAUCAAAUUCUCAGUGGUACAGUCAAGAUGAUAUUUAUGAGAAUAUUAUUCCCUUGGGGUAUAUUCUUAUAAAUGUUACAAAUAUAUAAACUUCAAAACACUUAUUCAUUCCUUGCCAGUGCCAAACUAUCUCUUAUAUGAUUUUAAAUCACAUGAAUAUUAAAUAUUUCCAUAUGUAUUUAUAAAUCUUCUGGAGGGGUGGAGAUUACUAUGAAAGAGUGACUAUUCUUGAAACUGAAAUUACUAAAAAUAAUAUUGACUUAAUUCUAAAUCUCAUUGCUGAGGAAACAGUGUCACACUAUAUGACUGCUUUAUUAUGAGUAGAGAUUUGAAUGAUUUUUUUUCUGAGCUUCUGUUGAAAACUUAGAGGGUUUUUGGUUUGUUUUAUUAAACUGAAGUUGAACACAGGGCCUUCACAAUGACCUAUAUUCCACAGUUUUUUUCUUAUUUUUAGUUGGAGACAACGUCUCCUUAUAUACUAAGUGUCCCAAGCUGGGCAAACUUUGGAUUCUCCUGCCUCAGCUUUCCAGAGCACCAGAAUUACAGAUAUGCCCCAUUAUACACAGCUUAAUUACAAUUUUUAUUUCAGAGACCUCCAUCCAAAAAAGAGGAAGUUAUAACUUACGUCCCCUGGAUUUAAUGGAAGCCUGUUUCCUAAUUCUCCUGUCUAAUCACAGAAGUCUGUCCUCCCAUUUGUGUGGUUUACUUGUUUGUUUGUUGAAUAUUUUACUUUCAAGCUUAGCAAAUGGAUAUGUAUUUUCCAAAUUUUAAGACUUUUGUGGAACCCCAAUACCUGUUUUUUUAUAUAACUUUAAAGAUACUUGAAGUCGAUGAAAUUUUGUAUUCUUAGAUGUUUUAAGUACCAUAAAAGCAUUUCUAGUAUUGAAAUAAUAUGAAUUAAAAUUUGUAUAUUUCUUCCAGCUUUAUCCAACUUGGGCUUAAAAAUUAUAAGGUCAUUCUCCUGAAAUGUAUUUAAUCAUUGCUUCUGGCAUUUUCAAUGGGUUUAUCCCAACAUUAUUGACCUUUGGAAAUACAGCACACUCUACUUUUGCUUGUAAUGAAGUACACAUAUUGCCAUUUAUUGACAUAGGAGCACACUUCAAGUUUAUAAUAUGUUCAAGUAAUAUCCAUCUGAAUUUUGAGCUGUUCACACUAGGAGUGUGUGUGUGUGUGUGUGUUUGUGUAUGUGUGUGAGUGUGACAGAGAGAGAGACAGAAACAGAGACAAAGAAACAUAAGACAUACAGAGAGAAAGAUUCUAAAGGGAAAACAAGAAUAAACCUAGACUAACUUAGAUUAUUUUGAUAUUUUAAAACCUCUAAAUAAAAUUUCAAUGGACAAGAGCUGAUGAAUGUUUUCCAAAGUAAGUCUGUUAACCCUGAAAUCACCUAGAAUAUUCUAAAGAACCAGAAACAAAGUAAAUAUGAAUUGAUUUUGGCCAAAGUUUAAAUAAAACCACUUUGUGUUUUUGAAGAAGUUGAGUAAUAUAUUCUGAAAACAGAUUGUAGAACGGAUAGAGCACUUGAUUAGUACAGUAACAUGAUUUUGAAGACAUGAAAUAAGCAAAAGACUUGAUUUUUAAUGCAGGGUAUGCAGGUGUAUAUAAGAACCUUAGUAAAAGUUAUCUUUUUCAACAGUAACAGAUGUGUCCAGGUGUGCAGAGGUGUGUAUGAAUAUCAGUGAUUAAAAUAGAAUCUGAACUGAAAAGCAGUGCUGCCACUGAAAAUUUAUUCACGUAAAGAAUAUGUUCCACAGAGGAAGUAUUUUAAUGAUGCAUUUCAUGUACACAAUUAUUCACAUCUGCGUCCAUGUUUUUUUUUUUGACUUUCACAAAUUUUAGAUAUGUUACAAUCCUAUUUUUGCACUUAAUAAACAAUUUCUGAAGCUUGAAAAUGAAAAGGGAUGGGAUGUUUACAUAUCUCAAAUGGGGUGCUUUGACUUUUAUGAAAUUAUUAAAAUGUUAAACACAAAAGCAGUUAAAUCAUUUGGAUAAUUCUGUUCUAGUCUUCUGUUUAUCAGCACAAACCAUCGUUCCAUAGCUUUAUGACCAUUAAUGAAUGGCUCUUAUAUGUACGGAAAUGGUGCUCUCAUGCUCUUAACUCUCCCUGUCCUAUUCACUUCUGUUUUCCUGGAGUAUUCCUUCCUCUUCUACUUGGAAGUGUGUCUACUUGGGCCUAACUCUGUUGUUAAUCAUCUCACUCAGCACUCUUCUGUUCUUUCUUCUGUUCUCAGCUGUCAUGGGUCCUAUGAUAGGUGAUAAAAGGAAAAGCCCCAAUUUAUCAACCUAUGUGGACAGAAAAUCAUCCUUAGGUUCAUAAAAUUUCCCUUAGUCUAGCUGAAGUUUCAUCAUCUGUUCUCCAAAGUCCAUGGUUGUGCAGGUAAAAGCUAAAAUUCACUGUACCUUGCUUGACAUUUAAGCCUUUGAUGAUAGAAGCCCUGAGAAGCAGACUGUACCUUAACCAGUUCUUCAGCAAAAUAAACAAAAAGUAAAGCAAAACAAAAUUGACCUCUACUUAUUUAAAACCAACCAUGGUUUCUGUUUAUGUCUUCAAGAAGCACAUCCUCACUUAAUAAACAAUGUUUUAUUUGUUUGUUUGUUUUGGAGAUUGCACUUAGGGCCUUUGUGAUGAGCUGUAACCCUAGCCCCCAUUUGUUGUUUGAGGUAAGAUCUUGUUAAGUUGCAGAGGCUAGGCUUGAACUUGUGUUCCUCCUGCCUCAGCCUUCUAGACUCCUAGGAUUAUAGGGAUGCACCACCAUGCCCAACCACCCAACAAGUUCUACCCUAUCAUCAGGCCAGGUAUGGAGUAAAUGUUGAUGAGCAGGUGGUCUCUGGCCUUUUGGAAUCUACAUUAUGGUGGAAGCAUUUGAAGCUUGUCUUUAGACUACCUGCUCUUACUGUGAAUCUUCUCCAUUGCUUCCAUUUUGUCUUUUCACUCUUCUUCCCUUUUUCGUAAUAAAAUUAUGUCAUAUUAGUGAAUGGAGAUAGAUUUACACCCUAAUUAGUGGCUCAUAAACAGACUUUUUAAUAGCCUCCUAUUGGUGCUACUUCAAAAGUGACCAUUUUAUUGGUAUUAGUAAGUACUUUCAAAGUCAAGGGUAAGGAGAAAAUUAUGUUUAUCCCAUCAUGGGUAAACAGGGAUAGCAUUAAACUCCUCUGUAAUCUUUUAUCUCCUUUUCUGCCUUAAGUAUGGUAGAUUAGUAACAUGGGAAACAAGAGAAAAUGGGGAUUUUAGAAUAAGGAACAAAAAUGAAAUCAAAUUACAGUGAAGUGGGAAAGUAUAACUUUCUUCCUUCAGUGAACUUACUAUGUUCAUCCAAAGUUUGUCUUAUGCCAACUUCUGCAAAGAAGUGAAGGUUUCUGAAUAUAAGAGAGGUGAUAUUUAAUCAAGCAUCCAUUAGAACUCUCGUUAAUUCGUAUAACUGUCAGGCACGUUUUACAGGUCUAUGUCCAAAAAUAUAAGGAAAAUUUACUCCUGUUCUUGUUCUUGUGAUAAGAAUUUAUAUGAGCAUGUGGGGCUUGGUCAAAUUGUUGGUGGGAGGAAAUAAUACAGCAUCAUGGAAUUUCUAUUAAGCUUCACUGUUAUGCUCUAAAGAUUGAAAAGUGACCUAGGGAGAUAGGUGUACACCCUCAUGAAGCUUGGAGCAUCCCUAAUGAAAUAGAUAAAACUCAAGCUGAAAAGUACAUAAAACACUUCAAAAUUAGGAUAAAUAUAAUGACUUAAAUAUAUGAGGAGCUAGCAUAGAAAAUUGUACUUUGUAGGAGACUUGCUUAGCUCAGGUUACUAGGUAAGCUGUCUUUGAAGAAAUUGCACUUAAACUGUGACCUUAAAAGUAAAAGUGGGGUCGGGAGUGUUCUAGGCAGGGGUAAAAAGAAUGUGCAAAAGCCUUUUGAUGUGAAAAUUCCUGGCUAGGCUGUUUGAAAACUGAUAGAGGGCAGGUUGCAGGUAGAGGAGCAGUAAAAGCAAAAGUCAGACAAGCAGUUUUUCUAUUCCAAACAACCUAUGGGAGCUGUAAAUGUUAUAGAAAUUUUAUUCCUUAUUACUUGUCAGAGAAUAUAAUUUUGUUUUAACCAAAUUUUGCUUUCAUAAGCUCCUUUUAUAUUUAACUUCACUUAUGAAAGCUGGCCAUCUACUGCCGUCAUGUGGCACCCGGCAGUAUUACAUAUGUUAGGCACCGGUGAAAUCUAAAGCAUGAUUUUAGCAAAAUUCUUGUACACCCUUUUCAGUUAACCUCAGUCACCUCUAUCUGCUCUCAAACUCACAUAUGGGAAUUACUUCACAUUUCACUGUGCAAGGAACUGUGCAAGAGCCCCAGCUUCAAUGGCUUCAGGAGCCCGGCUGGUUCUGAUGAAGAGACUGAAGCCAGACCAGGUUGCGAGCAUCAGGAAGAAGGGAAGCCUAUAGCCAGUUCAGAGACACAAGCUAGAGAGAAAGACAUCCAAUUUUAUGGACUUAUUCUAUAAACCGGGAAUAUCAAAACAAUCUUAUGAGAUGUUUUUAUUUUUCAGUCUCUGUCCCCAAAUGUUUAACCCCAAUUACAUUAUUGAUUUCUCUCCCAAAACACAAAUGGUUUAUAUACUUCAUUUUUUACUAUUUUAUGAUUAUUUCAUACAAUAAAUUAUCUCAUUCUGUUUCUACAUGCAACAGCGAUGGUUUAUUUUGGAAGUUAUUUCAAUAGUUUUGUGGCUCAGUGUCAGGUUCUCUACUGAUGAUCUUUCUUUACUAAGGCUCAGGGAGCCAUUUUCAUUAUAAGAGGUUUUUUUCCCCACAAAUUAUUGUCUCCUUGCUUCAGGGAUAGUGAGAUGUUGAGCCUUGACUCCCGUUUUUCUCUGCACUAAAGUAGACCCAAAAUUGUUUUCUGAGGAGACUCAUCGCUAUUAGUUCCAGUGCUGCCUGUACACAUUUUUGACUAGAAAUUGAGUUAUUUUUUCAGGCCUCACUUUCGGUUUGUUCUAUCCAGGUGACAGUGCGUGUCCCACCCACAAUUUAGUUGACUUUUGGAGUAUGAAGCUCUAUAAAUAGAAACACAGAAUUACAGCUUGCCUGGUCCUUGUCAGGAACUAUUAUCUCAAAUUUACUAUGGUCCAUGCAGUGCAAAUGUUUGACUAAGAGAUAUCUAUGGAAGAAGAAGAAUAUUUAUUGGAGGAAAUGCAGUCAUCCAUUUUGCCAUAUAAAAUAAAAUCUGUUUCAGGAUUAAGGGAGACCAUCAAAACUGCCUGACUGGACUGCCUUAUACUGGGCCCAGCAAAAUUGCCCCCCAACAGAGCUGUGCUUUAGUCAUCAUGAUGAAAUAUUCUCUGUGAGGAAUCAUGGGGAAUAGUUUCUCUUCCUUCACAUUGGAGUUUAUUCCAAAUAACUGUUUUGUAUUAUAUGCAGUCUUGUUACUGGUUAUAUUGUGUUCCUUUUUACAUGUCCAUUAGAAAGCUCAAAGUCAAAUUCAUGUUCUAAGUUGACUAAAUGAAAAAUUCGUCAAAGCAUGAAUUUGUUAAUCAUGUUUAUGGCAUCAUCUUGCUUUUCUGUUUUAUUUUCCAAAGUUUCUCUUCAAAAGGUUUUAAUAUUUUAUCUCAUUAUGUUGUACACAUAUGUAAAUAACUUAAAUACAUCUAAGAUCAAAGUGAUAUAUAAACAAAACCAUAGGAUUUAUAUUGAUGUUAUGCUUUUUUAUAAAUCUUAAUUUCCAGCUGAACACUGUGAACAUAAACAAGAUUUGUGUGCGUGCAUGUGUGUGUGUGUGUGUAUGUGUGUGUGUGCAUGUGUGCGUGCACUCUUGGGCCAGCUGGCAAGUAGGACCUAGGGAUCAGGAGGGGCUACAGAGAAGAGGAGUCUCACUAGGAGUUUCUCUAGCCAAGGGAGUUCCAGUCACAGGUUUGAUGUUGUUUUUUAAAUUUUAAUUUUUAUUAGUACACGCUUGCAGUACAUAAUAAUUACUUUCAUUGUGGGAAGUUGCUACAUAUACAUAAUAUAUAAAGGAUUUUUAAAAUAUCUAAAGAGCUGAAGCAUCCUUUCAUAUAACAUGAAUUUUAGAAACCAUACUAAUUCUAUUUUGCAAUGCACAAAAUUAAACUUAUAAGCUAUCGAGGUAUUACAUUUUUCAUGAAAAUAUUGCUAAAAAAAGAAAUAGAGGAGAAUAAGAGCAAACUGAAGAGGAUCAAAUAUGUUUUUACAUUUGUGGCAAAGAGCUUUUCCAUCUGUGCAGAUUGGUGACUACUGUAUGAGGUGAAAACCAGUCUUGCUUAGUACUUGGGAUCUUUAUAUAUGGUCUUGAUAUUCAUCCCAUAUAAUCAUUCCACACUUGUGAAUGAGUAUCAGUUUCAAGGGUGAUUUUAGUACAAUUAACUUUACAUAAAUAUAAUUUAGUAAGAUAAUUAUGUUUGCAAUGACCCAGUAGUGUAGCCUCAAAUUCAGUCUUAAGACUAGAGACAGUAUGCCUGUAUAUAUGAUAUACAUGUAGAAAGUAUGUGUAUUCUUAGACCUCUGUUAACCUAAUAAUGUACUCUGCAGUUUACGAUACUAUUAAAGCAAAGCAUCCUGAAAUUUUUCAAUAUCAGUAAGGUAUCCUACAUGAGAUAUUUAAUAUUAUUGAAGCUAAAACUUCAUAGGAAUAUUUUUUCAUAAUUAUGACUAAAUUAUAGCUGUCAGCUAUUUAUCCAAGUAGCGCUAAACACAGAUUUAUCACUUAUCAGCUCUUUAAUAAUGAUACCUAAAGUUUAUUGAAUGUCCACUUUAUGCGAGCAUUGUAUAAGUAGCUUUUCAUACACUAUCUCAUGUACUUAUAAAACAUUUUAUGGAGUUCAUUGCCAAUAUUUCAUGAAUGAAAUAUGAGUAACAUAUUUGCAUUUCCAUAGAUGAGUAUUUUUAAUAUUGAGAAAAUGAUUGCAUUUAUUUGCCUGAAAUAAUAUGCAUACUUUCUGUAGACAAUAUUAGGAUUUUGUAAAGUUCUAUCUUCUGCUGAUUCUUGGGAAAUCCUAAUGGAAAACCUGGAAUUUUAGAUAAACAAUCAAAAUUGUUUUUCUAUGUGUGUGACUUGAAAAAUGUGAAUCUUUCAUGCAGCAACAAGAAGACACAUUCCCUGACUGCCACUUAUAUUUAUGUUGCAGUGUGUGCAACAAAUAGUAUUAAGAAAAAUGAGAUUGUGGACAUUUUGCAAAUAGUUACACUUAAAAUCAUAAGCAAUAAGGAAUUAGUCACUUAUUUGGACCAUAUAACAAUUUGAGUGUGAUAAAAAGCAAUAUUUAGACUGUGUUGAUGAGAUUAUCACUUGUCAUAACUGGUUUGAAAGACAAUUAAAAUUAUAAAUUUGAAGAUGUUCUUACCCUAUCAACUAGCAAGUUCACUUCUAGACAGGUAUCAAGGAGGAUCAGACACAUAUGAGUAAGAACACAUAUCUCAGGGUGUUUGCAGCAUCUUAUCUAUGGUUUUAGCACACUGAAAUCUGAGAGGAGAAAUGCAAACAGGUUAUGCAUGUAUAAAAUGGAAUACUACACAAGUUUGAAUGAAGGAAAAGAAUUAUAAAUCUCAGCAAUAUGAAUCUCAGAAACAUAAUGUUGAAUGAAAAUAGCACAUCUCAAACAGAUACAUGCUUGCUGAGUACAUGUUAAUAAAGUUCAAAAGCUUAUAACUUUAAAAUCUUCUUAGAUAGGGAUGGAUAUUAUGGUGAAGCUAUUAUAAGAACAGGAACAAGAAACAUUUCUAUGAUUUCUAUGGAAAGAAACACAUGAGCAUGGAAGGGUCAUCAGGGAGCUUUGUGAGUUCUGGUAAUUUCUUAUCUUGAACUGGAUGUUGUGUGGGUCAUUUUCCUGUUAACUUUAGUGCUUCACAUUGAUCCUAAGCUCUUUUGUAUAUAUACAGUUCUUAAAAAAAGAAGGUGGAGUUAUGUAGAUUUUAAGUAUUUACCCGAAGUCUUCUGUACCACAUUCUAGAGAACCAUCUGCUCUUGAGUUAUUCUUUCUGCAUAAUUUUCUAUGAGUAUUUUUCAUAAUGAAGUUAUUGACCAGUAUAUUUUAAAUCUUGUAACUUUUUCAUCAAACUUUUUCAUCAAACUAUGUAAGUCUCCCUGCACCCUGGCUAGCAUCUGCAAAAUUUAAACUCUUGGCAAUUUAUAGUCUUCUGGAAGCCAGACCAUUUGGCAGUGUUCUGUCCUUUUGAUUCCUGCCUCAGUCUUUUAAAAAUGAUAAAAAGUUGAGUCUUUCUUCGCUCUGUAAGAUGACAGAAACCUAGCAGAUAGCUGAUUAAGUGGCCCUGCAGUGAUUUCCUGACAGCAGUUGGUAGCUUAUGCUUGCCUUUCUCCAGGUAGGAGGUAUAGUCAAGGCUAUAAAUAUCUAAACACCCACAGACAGGUUCUUAUUGCUACUGAAACUCUUGGUGGUGUUUAUUUCUCCAUCAGGUCCUGCAAAGGCUGAGUCCACGCUGUGUUCUCCCUCUUCUCUACCAAUACCUGGUGGCUGGAAUUAUUUUCAGGUCUUUCUUACCUUCACAUUUUAUCUUUGUCUCUCACAGCUGAUUCCCUCUAAUGGGCUUAAUAAUUGAAAGAGAAUUCACAAAAUCUCUCUUUAAUGAGUAUAUUUUUGCCUUUUUUUCUUUCAGAAAUCACUAGCAUUCUUAUUUUCACUCAACAGUGAAGGUAGAAGAACAAAGUCAACAUUCUUAAAAAAAGCUCUUCCAUUUAGCUUGCAAUAAUUUAAGUGUGCAAGGUUGGGAAUAUAUUGAUAUUCUGUGAUCAAUUAAUCUGAUGUCGUGUGUUGAGUUUUCUUCUGAUAUUUAUUUUAUUGUGCCAAUAAGUUCACUUAAUCUUGUAUAUUUUGGUACAUUACCUCUUUUAAUAUUUUUAAAAAUCCAAACAUGAGAAUAAAAGUAGAUAAAAUUCUACUUUCUAGAGACUAUUUUUAUAUAUUUAUUAAACUGUAGACUCUAUCAUAGAAAUGUUUGCAACACACACACACACACAAAACAAUGUAUCUUGCCAGUGAAAUGCUGAAAUAAGCUUUUUGUAAUAGGUAUAAAUUAUAUUUUGAGUUCUCUAGAAUAUUAUAAAUUGAUAUUACAGACUGAAUUUAUGCAACAAUGUUAAUUCAAAUUAGGUAAAUCUUUCAAAGUAACAAAUAUUUGAUAAAAGAUCUGGCUUAGUCACAUUGCAUAUACAGUAUUAUCCAUUUAUAUUAUUACACAUCCUGCACUUUAAAUUUUUAACAAAACCAUGAUGUAGUUUUAGAGUGGAAAUAUUAUUUUAAGAUACAUUAUAUAUUUCUAAAGACUAUACUGCUGUAAAUUUUAAUGAUAAAGAUCUGCUUAAGUUAGGGAUUUGAAGAAUAUUCUCAUUUUAUUUUAUAUUUUUCAUUUUUUUGAUAUUCCCAUUUAAAGGAGACAUUUUAGUAGAAUAAUUUAAAUUGCAGUGAUUAAAAUAGUACCAAAGUAAAAUGUUUCAAGAAUUUAUUUCAAAAUUUCUAUGAUGAAUCUCAGUUCUGAAAUAUGAUUUUUUGCAUGGAUGUGGUUUAAUACCCCCUCACUGUUAUACACACACACACACACACACACACAUACACACACACACACAUAAUUCCUAAAUUUAAAAAGUUUUAAACCUAUUUUUAAAACCUGUCCAGAAACAACUAUCUCAUCUAAUAUUCUAAGAACUAUAGUAGUAAGAAAAAUUAACUUGAUUCUCAAAUGGGUAGAAAGGAGAAAAACGUCUUCAAGGAAUAGCUAGUAAUUGUAUUUCAAAUUAAGGAGGUAUUUGAGUGAUUCUGGGCUGAGAUGUGCACACAUUAAUGGAAAUUAUUAUAUAUUCACAUUCAUUGGUUAAAAAUAAUAUAUUUAAUCUCUACUGAAGAAAGGUUAGGUUAAUCCAUUUAGCAUAGUUCUAAGCCCCAGUUGCUUUAUAAUGCUCUUCUAGAUUUUUGAGUUAAACUAUCAGGAUGAUGCAUAUUUUUCAUUUAACAUUAUCAAAAUUUAGGGUACCUUCUCAUUUUCUGACUAAAAUAAAAUUUCUCAUUGAUGUUUCAAUUAUUAUGGCAAAUAAUUUGACUGCUUUAGAAAAGAAAUUAUAGAAACACGAAACUUCCUUUUAAUAGGUGAUUUUGCUAGAAUUUUAUAGUUUUAAAAUUGAAAUUUCCUCGUGCAUAAUCUGACAUGAUAAACUUAACUAUUUCUUUCCAAGUAAUAUUUUAAAAAGUUCUUUUCUAAUUUGGGAAAAUUGAACACAAACUCAAAACCUUCAAAGUUUCUAAUGAUUUUAUUUCAUAUAAAAAUGACUGGAAAUUCUAAAUGGUGAAGGUGUUCAAAUCUAGAUUGAGAAUUAAGAUACACAAUGUUUGCUGCAAAAUCUGGUUUUUCUUAAUUAAAAAUUAUGGACUAUUCACUUUUCCAUAACUAGGAAAAAAUAUCCAACACCAGCAGCUUAAAAGAGUUGUUUUGUUUCAUGUUUUCAAAAGGUUCAGUUCAUGGUUAGCUGGCUCUAAGACAGACAUGGCAUGGUAGAAGGAGAGAGCUACUCACAUCAUGGCAGCCAAGAAACAGAGAAGGAAGAAAGGGACCAAGGACAAAUAUAUACCGUUCUGAGUUAUGCCCCAUUGACCCACCUUCUUCAAUCAAGCCCUACCUCCUAACAGCACAUUCAGUUAUAAAAUCAUUAUCAGUUAAUCUACUGAUGAGUAUUGAGACCUUCGAUCUAAUUACCUUCUAAAAGCCACAUCUCUGAACACCUGAUACUUUUGGGGAACUUUUUGUAGGUAAACUAUAACAUUGUAGCUUUGAGAUAAUUAUAGAUCCACUUUCAGUUAUAAAGAACAAUACAGAAAUCCAUCUGUUUCCCCCAUGGUAACAUUAUGCAAAAUUAUAGUAGAAUAUCAUAACUUUGACAUAAUCCACCAAAUUAAUUGAGAUUCAAGUUUUCAUUCCACAAUGAAAUCCAUGGUCCAUUCAGUUUUUAGAAUAAAACAUUUGAGAAAUAAAUAUACUGAUGGGGUUCUAUAGUAAAUAUUUCCAUCUAAUCCAAAGUUGCUAAAUUUAUACAUCUCGAAGGAGUGUCUAUUCAUUACUCAAGUUAAAUUUAAAUAAAAAAUUUAAAGGUAAAUGCAAGAUAUUUCUCAGUUAUGGAAAGGGUUAAAAUUGCAGACUAGAUUUUCUUUUCCUUGUUUUUAGGAAACAAUAUUCAAUCCUUUAAAAUACUAAACAAUAUUCAAUAUUUUAAAAUUGCACCUUCCUUAGUACCAUAGAAGUCACAACUGUGGAGAGAUUAAUAAUAUACAUGUAUAUUUUAUUAUUAAAUUCAACAUGAAAAUAGUGCUUUAUACUUACCUAUUUCAUAUAAAUAGAUUUCAUAAGGAAUAUUACAAUGUUCUAUAAAAGAACAUUUUUUCUUGUAUAAGUUGCAAUAGGGAAAAUUAAAAUAAAAUGUACUGCAUUUGACAUUGGGCUUACUGUACAUUUGGAAAGACGGGAUCAUUAAUCUCUCCCACUCAUCAUUUGUGUUUUAGAGACUAACUUUAUAUUAUAGUCAUAGGAGUCAGUUUUAAGUCCUGAUAUUGUGUCUUUUUAUGCACCCUUGUUGAUGUAGAUUGAAUUAAUGAGUAGAUACAGUUACAACUUUUAAAAUGAGUUUCAGAGCUUCUAUGGCUUAAUGAACACGUACCUAUUAUUCCAAAACGUAUUGCUCAUAUCUUAAAUAUAAUGUCAAUAACUUUCAUUUGACAUACCCAGAAUUAUUGUGUAAAAAUUAUUUAAAACUAAUAUGACUAAAUUUUCAUGUUUAUGGAAAUAUGUUAUAAGCUGUGCUACUUAGUAAUUGAAUCUUCUUUUUUACUUGAAUAUUUUAAAUUAUAUUUAAUUAAAAUAGGAUAAGCAUCCUAAAUACAUUCAAAUAAUGUGAGGUAAAAUGUAUUAACAUACAUGUCUGUUAAAUGGAUGGAAAAUAUUUUAUCUGCAUAUAGUUCUGUAGCCCAGAUGGGAAAAAUAUGGAAACAAUCCUGGAUGAUUCUUAACCUUUUAUCAAUAUAGAAUUUCCCAGUGGGAGCUGACACUCAAUUCAGAUAUGUUCUAUAGAAUAGGUACUAUCUGAACUUGUCUCUGAAUAGUAAACAGGAAUGACCAGGAAAUCUGAUUGCUUUUGCAAUGCCAUAUGCUAGGAUAGAUGAAUUCAUUUACUCACUUGAUAUAUCAUUGUUACCAUAAUGAUAUUCUCAAAAAUAUAUCUUUAUUGCUGAGGCAGAGGAGCAGACAAUAGUAGGGAUGGCAUGUAGGAGCUAAUUUAUAAAUAGUUGGUAUUUGAAAGCAUUAAUUUUCCCCCAAACAGAUAGAGCUCUUUUCUAAAAGAAAUUUUAAGGUCAUAGUCAUUAUAAUAGAUAUUAUGUAAAAGACAUAUUAGAGCAAAUAGUUUAUUAUCAUUAAGAAUUUAAUAUUUCCAAAUAUGAUGCACAUGACACUUUCUUAUCUAAUUUUAUUCUUGGAUACUUGAUUUUUUAUAAUUCAAAAAAUUCCUGUCUGCAGACCAUUGAAAGAAUUGGAGUGAAUAGAAUGAUGCAUUUGCCUGCAUAUUAGAUGCAAAAAAUAAUUUUUAAAAACAGAAUUUCUUCCAGGAAAAGCAUACUUACAAGAUUUCCCAAAGCUAUAAAAGUUUAGCCUGAGGCAUUCUUCCUACUUGCUUUGCUCUCCUGCCCACCACACUUUUAGUAUUUGAAAAAUCUACUUAUCAAAUUGUCUAAUCACUUCUCUUGAAUGAACUCCUGAAAGUACUAGUCAUAAAGUGAAUUGAGACAGAAAUCUAGAAAGUCAUCUCGAGUUAGUUACAUCUCUGUAGUUCAUUGUGAUCACUAAGACUUAUAUUUUUAUAUCUGAAUGGACAUAUUUCUAGUUAUUUUCUCUGUGAGUUUAAUAUGCUCUUAGUUUUGGUUUAAGUCCAUCCAGGCUUAUAAACGUAGAUGCAUAAUAGUUGUUUUGAAACUAAUUUCAAACAUCAAGGAUUGAAAUGCAUUUGUUUUUGCACAUUGUAUCUGCAGAAGGUAGAGAUAAGAACUUACAAUGUAUUAAUAGUCAUCUUGGUAUGCUUCCCUGUGCCUGAGCUUGGUACUUCACACAUUCUAUGUUAAUACGUAAGCUCCUGAGUCAACAUUUAGGAAGGUGAAGAAACUGGCCUUAUCUUCAAAUUAUCAACUUGAAAAGGGAGAGUUAUUUUAUUAUUAUCAUCACCAUUUAAAAAUUUUUGAUUGUGUUUCACUAAUUUUGAUUAGUGAGUUUCAGUUUUGAUGACUCAUUUAACUCUUUCAGGGUUAAAAAUAUAUUUAGACAUUGUGAAGCAAAACAUAGUUACAAAAAAAUCACCAACCCAUAUACAAUAGCUUUACUAAUCCAGAAAAAUCUGGAUUCUAUAAAGUAUGGAGUAUUUUCUUCAAAAAUUGAUGAUUUGCAAAUUAUUUUAUCAUUGUUAACUGACACAAUUGUAUAUAUUUCUGGGUUAUAGUGCAAUAAUUUGAUACUUGUAUAAAAUUUCCACCUCCUUAAACAGUUAUCAUUUCUUCAUGUUAGAUACUUUCAAAUCUCUCCUUUCUAGUUCUUUCUAAAAUACAUAAUAAAUUGCUGUAAACCAUAGUCACCCUACUGUGCUAUUGAAUAUUUGAAAUUAUAUGUCUUAUUUAAUGAUAUUUUAGUGAUACUUAUAGGGGAGAAUCAUGUUUACUGUUUUUAAUUUUAACUGUAUGAUCUAAGAGUCUCUAAAAUAAAAUUGAAGAACCUCAUGCAUUUUAAAAAUAUUUAAGGUUUAUCUCUUUCUAGAGAUGGUAAGAUAGGAAAAAAUUUUUUAAUGCGUCUCUGGUCCUGAGGUAAUUGCCAUUAAGAUAUCAGUUCACCUUAAGUCUGUUUUUCGUGGGAUUCUGAAGGACAGUUAUAAUUGUAGAGUUGUAGAUGCCUCUGAUAAGUAUUUAGAGAUCCUGAACAUAUAACUACACUAUGAAUUAGGAAGUGGUGUCAGGUAGCAUUUUACAAUUUGAAAAUUGAUAUACUAAGGACUAGUUGGUGGUGGAUCAAAUUAUAUCAGGUACAAUAAAUAACAGUACUUGGAUCUAAUAGGUUAGGAGUGCAUAGUUUUACUACCACAACACAGAAAACUAAAAUUCUUUGUUUAUAAUUAUUUUAUGUGGAUAUAUCAGUGUGUGUAUUUAAAUUCCUCUUUACCUGUAUAAUUUGCCUAUCUAUAUCUAGAUUUACCUAGUUUUCAAAGGACAGGUUAGAAUCCUGGCAAGAUCUUAAACUAUUCAGUUAUGAGAAUCUGGAUUCCUUUUCGCUAUAUUUAAAAUUUUUAUUUUUCAUCAUCUCUCAGCUUCUAUAAUCUUUUCUUUAUAUACUUCCAUCUGAUACUAAAUUUGCACAGGUUUACUGACUUGUGUAUCACCCAUGGUGUCUGGUGAUUAGGACACAGCAGGAGUUCCUUAAAUCCACUGGGAUUCCCCAUCCUUAGGUUUAUAUUGGAUAUUUGUUGCUUCAAUAAUCCAGCCGCAGGAGUUUAGAAUCCUCAGGAAGAACAAAGACUUCUUAUCUAUAAAAUGGUAGCAUUCAGAAGAUUUGGAAGUUAGAAGUACUUUAACGACAAAGGCAUUGUGUGAAAAUGCUCAAAUGUUCCUUAUAUUGACUAUAAUAAUAUGUAGUUUGAUAUAUAAGUCAAUGCUAGGGUCAUGGGGCAGAAGGUUCUGCUAUACUCUUCUGCAUUUGGAAUGAUCCUCAACCUAGUAUGCUUUCAGGGUGACAUUUAGAUGGAACUUUUAAAAAGUAUAUCACCUUCUCAGGAAAGUACUACAGAGUAAAGCAGAUUUAUAGAGCUGGAAGCCUAUUAUGCAGAGCUGUAGAUCACUGCUGCCAACCAAUGAGACUUGCCUUUUUUUUCUUCAAAUAUUCACCAAAAUUUCCUUUGUCUUGUCUCUUUUUUUGUGGCGAUAACAAUUCAGUUAGAUAUUUUUCUUUGGUCUAAACAGUUAAAUUGUUCUUUAGCCUAAAUCUUAUUUCUUGAUUUUUGUUCCGAGUCUCAUGCCAUAAACAAAUGUUUUUGUUUAGCUGUAUUUGUCAGGAGUGAUAGAUCUAACAGCAAAGCAUAAAUGUAGGCGGGUAGUUAAAAAUCCAAUACCAUAAAUCACUACAUUUACCAUGUGUUUGUGAAGGGAUAUGAAGAAAAACAGAACAUAGGUACAGUAGAAAAAUAUCACACAGUUUCUCUUACGUGAGAAACUCAAAGUAUAAAUAAAUUAAAGAGCAAAAUAAAAGAUAAAUAAGAAGAGGCAGGUAGACAGAACUUCUGUAAAAGGAAAGCGGACCAGUAGAUGGAGAGAGGAAGAAGAGGAAAAGAGGAUAAAAAAGAAUUAAAAUGUGUUAUGUACAUUUUUAACUUCCAAUUAUGAAUGUAAUCUAUAUGUACUGCAAAUAUGUACCAAUAAAAAUUUCAAAAAUAAUGUAAUCCAAUAACAUGAUUUUAGGAGGGCAGUAUUAUCAGGUGCAGAAUUUUAAUCAUUAUGCAGAACAUUAAGAAAAAGAAGUUUGUAGUUAUGUACACUCCAUUGUAUUUAAAGCUUCUAAUAAUUUAUACUAUAAAUGCAAUAGUGGCUCUUCAUAAAGAACCUCACUUAGUAUUAUAAAAUUUACUGCAUCCUAACUGAUGAUAUGGGUAGAGUGACAAUUCUUGCUUAUUGGAGAGCAUUUCUUACAAAUAUUACAAAUUGAAAGAUUACAAAUAUUUUACUGUUGUGUAUGAUUAAAACCUUACCAUAUUAAAGUAUUUUGGAAUGUUUUCUAAUAGAAGAAAGUAGAAAACCAGUUUUUUUCUUUUAGGCCACAUGAUGUAGAUACUUGAAAAUUAUCACAUACCACAACUAUAAACUAUUUCCUUGUUCUUAUAAUCAGAAAACUACUUGCAAUAUGAAUAUUAGUAACCAUACUCAUGCUGAAUAUUCAUUCAUUUACAAAUGAAAAAGCUUUUUUAUGGACUUGGGUAUAUUUUUUAUGUCAGCAGCAUAAAUUCUUAAAUACAUACUGAGUUUAUUUCUGUGUAAUAAAAGAAUAAAUCAUAUCUAUAGCCAUAGACAACAAAAAUACUAUUAUCAAAAAUUCUGUUACAUCUCUCUAAAGUUUAUGCUAUUAAAUUGGAGUUGUUUUAUUUAGUAAUGGGCAUUCUGGCAUUCUUUUGUCUUUUGGGAAAAUAGGCUUCCUCAGAAAGUAGUUAUUUUGAAGGCUGGCAGCUAUUUCUGGCUUUCAACUGCCACAGAAAAUUUCCAUCCCAACAGUGGGAGGUGUAAAUAUAAUCUGACUGCUACUGGCUAAUUUGUGUCCCUUUUAUAACUGUGAAUAACAAUUCUAAGGUUUUUGCUUAAGAUGCCACACGUAUAUUAUUUCAAUUUUUUUCAAAUCAGGAAUAGGCACCUCUCUUUUACUGCUGUGGUAUGAAAGGUAAUUAAUAAGUCUUGUCUGUGACUUUUAGCUUAGCAAACUGAUUUAUUUAUGGGGAGAGAAAUAAGAGACAAGAAGAUAUUUCAAACUUUGCUAUCUCAUUGGCAAUUCCAUACACCAUUGUGGAGUUUGAUUUAAUGCACUUCCAUCUUGUACACCAAUCAAUGUUUCAAUACUAGAAGUUCCAGAAAUACAUUUUUACUAUAGUUUCACCCUGAGGAUGAGAUUAUUACAAAAGUCUACUAUAUUUGAGAUUUUUACUUUCCCUAAUACAGUUUGCAGGUACCCAGAAGAGGCCAUGGCAAUUCAUGUUAUUGUUUAUAAAGAUUGUGAAAAACCAGUGUCAGAGUGAAUUCACAUGUGCAUGUUUUCGACGAGCUAAUGUAAUGUCAAGCAUGUAAAAUUUGGCCAUUAUUUGGUUGUUUUUGCUACUGCUUUUGGAAGCUGGAAUAAUUUUACUAAAUACCAGUAGGUGAAGUUUGUUUCCUUUUCACAGCUUCUUGCAUCUCAUCAUCAGAAACUAUACUAAUAAUUACAGGACUACAUUAUAUUUCCACUCAACUGCUUGCAUUCUCUAUUUCUUUAGCCUGUUGUUCAGACCUGAAAUUUUUGUAAAAUACAGUAUUUACUUUUAAAUGAAUCUCUCUGUAGUCAUUGUUACCUUUGUGGCUAAAAGUUGACACAGACAUAAAGUGGAUUAUUGCUUUCCCAUAUUUUCCAUGUUCAAAUCACAGUUAUUUGAUUCAUAUAAUCAUUUAAGAGUAGAGGUACAUGCUUGUAAGAUUUCUGAAAAUGUAUGUUUUAUCUAGAUGAACCCAUUUGCCCAGUGAUUUUUGAUACACAAUUUGAGUCAACAGAAAUAUUUCCCUUGAGGAAAAUAAAGUUACAUUUAAGAAUGUUAUUAGUUCUCUAUUGGCACUAAAACAAAUUGCCGCUGGUUGAUUGUUGAUUAAAAAACAAAUGAAUUUAUUAUUUUUAUAGAUUUUGGGUUAGAUGUCUAACAUAGUUCUCACUGGACUAAAGUCAAGGUAUCAGCAGGGCUGCAUUCCUUUUUGGGGGCUCUUGAGGACAUUCUAUUUCUUUUCCAUUUUUAGGUAGUAGAGGCCAAGUAUAUUUCUUGCCCUGUCAUUCCCUGUCAUAGUCAAAGGUAGAAAUUUUGCAUAUCUCCAUAACUUCCAUGGUCAUAUCUCUUUCUGGCUCUGAUUCUUCACCUUUUCCCAUUUUUAAGGACUACCGUGAUUCAACUCGCUACACUAGAUUUAUUCAGGAUAAAUACCUAUUUUAAUUAGCAACUAUAUUUUCCAUUUACCAUGUACUCUAAUGUACCCAUAGGUUUUACAGAUUAGAAUAUGAAAAUCUUUGUAGGCCAUGUCCUAAUUCUGCAUACUAUAAAAAUGGACCCAACUUUUAAAAUAAUUGUUGAAAUGUGUAACUAUUCUUUGAAUGCAUUUGUAUAUGAAUACAUUAAUGAAUUAAUAUAGCAACUCUGAAGCAAUUUAUUAAAUGAAAUUUAACUUAAAGUAUUUAAAUUGAAAGAAAUUUCCAUCUGAAAUGGUAGCAGUAUUGAAUAACACUAAUGUUAUCCCCCCAAAACAGUAGUUAUAAUAAGAGUAAGUUUUAUGACAUAGGCAAAAUGUAGUACCAAGUUUUGUCAAUCAUAGUGUGUAAUUACAAAUCCAAGAUUCCCCCUCUUUCCAUUGGACAGGUGGUGCUGAUAUGGGGAAUUCAAAGGUGGCUGUUUCACACCACUCAAUCUUAAGGGACAUGCUUCUUUCAAACUGUGAUGAGCAGCAUAUGAUUACAAGUUGGUUUGGGGGCUCAAAGUUAGAGCCAAAGAUCUGUGAACAUAGUAUGGACCUUCAAUGAUUUGUAGGUCAUGUUUUUUGUUCUACACAUGAGAAAAAUAGGUAAUGAAUAAAAGAGUCACUAAAAGCCAUAUUGAUAUUUUUUUAGUAUGACUAGGUUUUAAAGUUCACCUCUCAGGUCUUGUGAGAAACUCCCUGUCUUUUCCAUCAAAGGAUGUAAAGAAGAGUGCCUCCAUCUUAGAUUCUAGUCCAGCCUAGGUGGCCCCUCCUGAACAUACUGAAAUUAUGGGAAAUGUUUGCUCAGUUCAAAUUCUGGAAACAUAGGUACAGAAUAAGAUAACUAUCAAUAGCCAAGGACCUUCUGUUCCCCACACCCUCCCUCCUCCUGCUCUUCUUUCCCUUAACAAUCUUCCCCAGGCACUCCUUGGGCCCACCCUUCAUGCCACUUUAACUAGUCAAUCAGCAUAGACUGUGAACCUUCAACCCAGCCAAUGGGGAAAAGGUCAGCUGCUUCCCAUGUGUUAGAGCUUGAAACCCCUACUUCCCUGCUGCUGGGUGGUAGUGCUACCUCAUGUUUCACCCUUCUGGAGAAGCAAAAUGACUUGUGCAGAAUUCCUAAUGUCUGAGUAGUUUGUUAUCUGCACUGACAUAUUGAGUCUGGGGACAUAUUUCCAACAGCCUUAAACCUCCUUUCCAAUCAGGUCAUACACAUAUUUGGCCUCAAAAACACAUUUAUUAAUGUAUCCUUGUUGACUUUCUUCUUUGUCUAACUGAUUUUGAUUAUCUCCUUGGGAACUUACAGCAUUGGGAAUUCUCAGUUACCCUAGCUGCCUUCAUUUCUAGACACAAAGUAAUGUAAGUUUAGAUGGGGAGAAAGAAGGAAAAAUAUUAGGGAAAGUGCAAAAUUGUUAUCACACCAUACAUAUUUAGGUGAGGAGACAUUAAUGCACUCUAAUAGUAAUGUGUAUCUAUUUCUUUCCUUAUCCAUCAGAAUUCAGGUGAUUUCCUAUCCAUAAGUCAGAAAGCAGUUGCUGUCAUUUUUUGAGUAAGCUUAUUGCAUUCAGUCAUUCUGGAUGCAUCCUUGUAUUUUGUCAUAUGUCAUUUAUAUAUUUAUACAAAGGAGGAUAAAAUUCUUCACUAAUGUAUAUGAAGUAACACCAUAUUCCUUAAAUAAGAAAUGAUUUACCUAAUUUGGCAACUAACAAAGUUUUUAACUUUCAGUUUUAUGCAUGUAAAAUUAAACAAAAACAUAGGACCAUUCAGGUUCCCUAGACAAAAAGUCUAAAGUAGCUAUCAUUCACUCAGCUUUUCCCAUAAGCAUUGCCAAGAAUGUUUUAUAGGUUAAAUUUUGUUCUCACCAGUUAAGAAUGGCUCCCUGUUAUCCAGAUAAGGAGACUGAGGUCUACCAUGGCAUAAAUCACCCAGUAAACUUAUAAGGAAGUAACAAUUUUGCACAUGCAGUUUUGCUCCCUUUGUCUGUCUCCUGUAUUAUUUCAGUUCUGUGAGUAAAAGAAAUUCCUGCUUCUGAAUUAAGAGGGUACCAAUAGACCAAAUAAUGACUGGGACAAGUCCAGCUUGGUAAAUGAUUUUAUUAAGGUUUAAUUAGAGAGCAUUGAACUUCUUACAGGCAGCUCUGCUACCAGCCUAUUUUCUACUUACAUAGCUUCCAUUUAUGUAGUUCUCCAAAUUACACAACAAAAAACAAAGGCAAGAAACAGAAUUCAUGCAAAGAAUUAUGUGUUUAUGUUUACUCUGUUUCCAUCUUUAUUGGAAAUUCCACUGUUCUCAGCAAAUACACUUAAGCACCAUUGAGGCAUGGCUCUGUUUCACUGUAAUCUGGCACACAGUCUCAGCACCUGUUAAGAAUCUCUAAAUGUUAGUGAAUUAAGUACACCAAGUACACUUUGGUAAUCAGGAAACAAAAUGGUGCUACCUUGGAAAGGACUUAGAGGACUAUUUUCCCUACAAUAUCCCACCCUUGAGCAGGGUGAGGCAGGGUAUGUACAAAUAAGGCCAGGCUGACAUAUAGGCAAGCAUGAUGGAGCAGUCAUUUUGUGAUUACUUGUUAUAUAAGCAUCAUUUGCAAUAGAGGAGGAAUUUUCCUGUUGCCUCUAGAGAAGUAAGGUCCUAUAAUUUGAGAAGGCCAUAUGGUUGGAAGCUCAUUGUACCUCCCAGAGUUCAAAGCAACCUCUGGAGAGAGUCAACAAUGAAACGAGGACAGCUGUCCUCCAACUUCAAGGAGGUGAAUUUCACAAGUAACGUAAAUGAGCCUGAAAAGGGGCACUGAGAACAACAAGAUUGAAAAACAUCUGGAUUUCAGCAUUGUGAGACCCCAGCAGUGGAUCCAGUUGACAUACACUCAAAUUGCUGACCCACAGAAACUGUGAGCUAAUACAUUUACAAGGUAUUCAGCAUGUUAUUUUGGGGUAGACUGUUAGGCAACACAAGAAAAUAGUACACAUGAUGAUGAAAGUCACACAGCUUAUGAGUGGUCAAGUAGAAAUGUACCCAGGAUAUCAUUUUCGCCAUUAUGAAAUGUUAAGCAGUAAAGAAAUCCAGGAAAACUGUCACCGACCUGUCAUACUUCAGCCCAGGUUAUUGGGUGGUACCAUUAUUAUUAGAGAAUUAUAAUUUUAUCCUCCAAUGACCAAGUUUAAAGGAAAAUUAUUGAUAAUUUGAAAUUUAACUGAGUACUAACAUAUGCUUAGUUCUCUAGCAAUCAUUUUCUAAAAAUAACAAGAAAAGUUUUCUAUUACUUUGAUUGUAUUAGGAAAUAUACGUACAUCUGAAUUAUAUCCUUUCAUAUUAGAGUUUCAUUUUGUAAAAAAUAUAAUUUUCUGGUUGAAGGAAUACAUACAAUUUAAAGAUACAAUAGAUCUUAUAUGCUUUAAAUAAAAUAUUUGUCUACUAAUACCUAAAUUUUCCAAAUAUUAAGUAUGCCAAAAGUUAUAAGUUCAAGAUGUGAUGUUUUUGUUAUUGUUUUUGGUGACAGUCCAUGUUUCCUAUGUUUUUUUGUCCCCAGAGUACAGCAAAAUUAUAACCAUUAAUAAUUUUAAAUUUCAGAAUGUUAUUGUAUUGAGUUCUGAUAUUAAGAAUAGAGAGACAAAUUGAAAUAUAUCAGGAAAGAAAUGAAGCAAAAGUGGUUAUUGAAUAAGGGAAAUUAUUGUGAAAUACCCCCAAAAUAAAAAAGAGGCACAAUAAUAGCUUCAUUUUUAUGCCUUAUCUAUCUUUCCAUUAUCAAAAAUACCUAGACAUACUUUUAAAAAUAUCACUGUUUGCUCAUCCUAGAAAUAUGAAAUAUAUUUUAUUUACUUAUAAAAUAAAUAUAUAAUAUAUAAUAUAUAAUUCAAUUAUAAAAUAAAGUUAUGCAAAUAACAUAUAGUAUAUAGUAAAAUACAUAUAUUUAUAUAAAUAUAUAAUUUA
RNAcentral lists this long non-coding RNA (29018 nucleotides) under Heterocephalus glaber (naked mole-rat). RNAcentral describes it as "lncRNA (ENSHGLG00000044503.1)". Lineage: Eukaryota; Metazoa; Chordata; Mammalia; Rodentia; Bathyergidae. The record is from RNAcentral.